Molecule: non-coding RNA, 669 nt
Organism: Chelonoidis abingdonii (Abingdon island giant tortoise)
Lineage: Eukaryota; Metazoa; Chordata; Testudines; Testudinidae
Source: RefSeq, a predicted model, not a curated record
CAGACCUGUACUGUGGGUAAUUGCCUUGAUUUCUUUUCCCCCCAGAAUGUACUGUUACGGAGAGAAAUACACAAACGUAGCUGUGAUAGAAAAGCUGUCAUGUUGACACAAAUUGAACUUGUAAUCAGCUAAGGUGCCAUUGCCUGAGUGGUCUCCAGGAAUGACUUCACACUAUCACGCACUUCAGUUCAACCUUCAGGACAGCAAAGGUAAGUAAUUUCAUAUUUCAACAAAAGUUGAGGGAGGCUUCAAUACUGCGUUCCAAAACGCAAAAGGGUCUCAGUAUUCAAAAGAGGUUACAUUUGAAGAAAGACUUAGAAGUAAAUCCACUAUGGCAUAAUCUUAACUGUGGCAGUUCUUAACAUUGCACUUUGACUUGAAGUUUAUUUUAGCAGUUAAGUAGGAAGAAGUUGCACUAAGAUGCUGACUGACACUCUUAAGAAACAGCCCACACAUAAAUUAAUAGUUGCUUGUUGUGGUGGAGUACUCAGUAAUAGGACCCUGGUCUCAGUAACAGUCACAUAAGCCACCCUCUAACCUUCCCCCCCAAAAAUCAUGAUUUGGUUUUGAAAGUAACUUUAAAAAAAUAACUCCAGACAUUUGAUACAGUCUUUAUUCAAACGAUGAAAAAAUCCUUUAUGCCACAAGCACACAGGCUCCACCAACUUC